AGCAGCCGCGGUAAUUCCAGCUCCAAUAGCGUAUAUUAAAGUUGUUGCAGUUAAAAAGCUCGUAGUUGAAUUUCGGGAUCAAUAUGUUGGUCGUGCCUCGGUACGUACUAGCUUAUUGGUUUCUCCUUUCUGAAGAACCAUGAUGUCAUUUAUUUGGUGUCGUGGGGAAUCAGGACUGUUACUUUGAAAAAAUUAGAGUGUUUAAAGCAGGCUCACGCUUGAAUACAUUAGCAUGGAAUAAUGAAAUAGGACGUUUGAUUCUAUUUUGUUGGUUUCUAGGAUCGACGUAAUGAUUAAUAGGGAUAGUUGGGGGCAUUAGUAUUCAAUUGUCAGAGGUGAAAUUCUUGGAUUUAUUGAAGACUAACUACUGCGAAAGCAUUUGCCAAGGAUGUUUUCAUUAAUCAAGAACGAAAGUUAGGGGAUCGAAGACGAUCAGAUACCGUCGUAGUCUUAACCAUAAACUAUGCCGACUAGGGAUCGGAUGAUGUUAAUUUUUAAUGACUCAUUCGGCGCCUUAAC
RNAcentral lists this small RNA (519 nucleotides) under uncultured Glomus. RNAcentral describes it as "SSU rRNA". It matches the Rfam family "Eukaryotic small subunit ribosomal RNA", at positions 569 to 1092 of the family's 1831-position model. The record is from RNAcentral. Lineage: Eukaryota; Fungi; Glomeromycota; Glomeromycetes; Glomerales; Glomeraceae.